Molecule: transfer RNA, 71 nt
Filed under: Triops cancriformis
Lineage: Eukaryota; Metazoa; Arthropoda; Branchiopoda; Notostraca; Triopsidae
Description: tRNA-Ser
Rfam family: tRNA
About the family: Transfer RNA (tRNA) molecules are approximately 80 nucleotides in length. Their secondary structure includes four short double-helical elements and three loops (D, anti-codon, and T loops).
Source: RNAcentral
AUUAAGUUAUUUGGCCGAUUGGAUAGGCAUUUGUCUUGAAAACAAACAACAAAGGUUCAAAUCCCUUAAUA